This 420-nucleotide long non-coding RNA is filed under the name Prunus persica (peach). RNAcentral describes it as "long non-coding RNA (PPER_LNC008415)". Lineage: Eukaryota; Viridiplantae; Streptophyta; Magnoliopsida; Rosales; Rosaceae. The record is from RNAcentral.
GGUGGACUAGUCUUGCACCACACGGCAGUGGCACUACCCUAUAUGAUAACAUGAUAAUAUUAUUGCUGAUGUGUUAAUUGUUUUUGUUUUCAGCUCCAACUUCCAAGUUGUAGAGUAGUUGAAACAUGAAAGAAACUGAAACCAAAACGAAUAAAAAACUAGGUAAGGUAGUUAGGGUUCUAAGGUCAUGCGAUUUGCGUUUACCCAUCAUUUCCAACUCACAUACAAUCUUUUUAAAUAUCUUCUUCUUUAACUAUCUAAAACACAUAAAAAAAAAAGGAGUAAUUUUAGCAAGAUUACAUUAAUUUAAUCACAUUAUGAAGUAUUUGUAUUCUGUACAAUACAAUCGUUCAUAACAAUUGAUAUACAGUGAACUCCGUAUGUCACGUAUUAAAAACAAAUUUCUCUCCUUCAUGCAUG